RNAcentral lists this ribosomal RNA (704 nucleotides) under Montenegrina skipetarica rugosa. RNAcentral describes it as "partial 12S ribosomal RNA". The record is from RNAcentral. Lineage: Eukaryota; Metazoa; Mollusca; Gastropoda; Stylommatophora; Clausiliidae.
GCACUAAGAAAAUUGAUAUUCUUUGUUUAUUUAUGUUUUACAUGACGAUUACUUUUAAGUCCGUCUUUAUAUUAGAUGUUAGAUCUAUAUGUUGAAAAUAAUUUUUACUGUAACUCGCCUUAAAUUCUUACAUAUUAGCUGCACUUUGAUUUGUGUUUUCCUUAGUUUAAAGUUUGAGAACUCGCCUUUAGGCGGGUUCAAAACAACGGUAUACAAGCUUAUUAAAGUAAGUAGUGUUUUCUUGGUGGUUGUCAAUUAUAUGGUAAGUUCCCCUAAAGUAUUUUCUCAGCCGCCAUAAUAUUUAAGUUUGUGCCUAAUAAAUAGCAUUACUCCUUGUUAUGCUAAUAAUAAUCUCUGUAUAACUGGGUAUCUAAUCCAGGUUUAGUUGCUGGAGUUUGGUUUAUUAUAAAGCAAAAUAAAUUUGGAUCAUUAUUAGCAUUUCACUGUAUAAUAAUUCUUUAUAGCUUAGCCGCAGUAAAACGGAAUCACACAUAACAAUUACUAUAGAUUUGUUUAUUAGGUUUGACCGCGGUUGCUGGCACCUAAUAAACCUAAACUAUAUAGUUAUCUAAAUCUAAUUUGCAUUAAUUUUUAAAAUUUUUAACUGGAUUAUUUUAUUUGUACUCCAUAUUAAGUUAGACUAUAAACCUAUAGUCUCAUUAUAUUAAAGUGAUUUGGUCUAUGGGGGAAUAUACCAUUUUAGA